AUUGAACGCUGGCGGCAGGCUUAACACAUGCAAGUCGAGCGGGGGAAGGUAGCUUGCUACCGGACCUAGCGGCGGACGGGUGAGUAAUGCUUAGGAAUCUGCCUAUUAGUGGGGGACAACAUCUCGAAAGGGAUGCUAAUACCGCAUACGUCCUACGGGAGAAAGCAGGGGAUCUUUGGACCUUGCGCUAAUAGAUGAGCCUAAGUCGGAUUAGCUAGUUGGUGGGGUAAAGGCCUACCAAGGCGACGAUCUGUAGCGGGUCUGAGAGGAUGAUCCGCCACACUGGGACUGAGACACGGCCCAGACUCCUACGGGAGGCAGCAGGGGGGAAUAUUGGACAAUGGGGGGAACCCUGAUCCAGCCAUGCCGCGUGUGUGAAGAAGGCCUUAUGGCUGUAAAGCACUUUAAGCGAGGAGGAGGCUACUCUAGUUAAUACCUAGGGAUAGUGGACGUUACUCGCAGAAUAAGCACCGGCUAACUCUGUGCCAGCCGCCGCCGUAA
Molecule: ribosomal RNA, 501 nt
Filed under: uncultured bacterium
Lineage: Bacteria
Description: partial 16S ribosomal RNA
Rfam family: Bacterial small subunit ribosomal RNA
Source: RNAcentral